RNAcentral lists this ribosomal RNA (291 nucleotides) under uncultured bacterium. Its description in RNAcentral is "partial 16S ribosomal RNA". It matches the Rfam family "Bacterial small subunit ribosomal RNA", at positions 773 to 1060 of the family's 1533-position model. The record is from RNAcentral.
GUGGAUUAGAUACCCUGGUAGUCCCAGCCGUAAACCAUGGGCGCUAGACGUCGUCCGUAAGGGCGGUGUCUCAGCUAACGCGUUAAGCGCCCCGCCUGGGGAGUACGGGCGCAAGCCUGAAACUCAAAGGAAUUGGCGGGGGCCCGCACAACCGGUGGAGCGUCUGGUUCAAUUCGAUGCUAACCGAAAAACCUUACCCGGGCUUGACAUGAUGGGAAACCUCUGCGAAAGCGGAGGGUGCCGUCCUCUGGACGGAAUCCCAUCACAGGUGGUGCACGGCUGUCGUCAACU